Molecule: transfer RNA, 84 nt
Filed under: Chitinispirillaceae bacterium
Lineage: Bacteria; Pseudomonadati; Fibrobacterota; Chitinispirillia; Chitinispirillales; Chitinispirillaceae
Also listed under: 1 other name
Description: tRNA-Leu
Rfam family: tRNA
About the family: Transfer RNA (tRNA) molecules are approximately 80 nucleotides in length.
Source: RNAcentral
GCCGAAGUGGCGAAACUGGUAGACGCACUGGACUCAAAAUCCAGCGGUGGCGACACCGUCCCGGUUCGACUCCGGGCUUCGGCA